GACGAACGCUGGCGGCGUGCUUAACACAUGCAAGUCGAACGGAAAGGCCCUGCUUUUGUGGGGUGCUCGAGUGGCGAACGUGUGAGUAACACGUGAGUAACCUUCCCUUGACUUUGGGAUAACUUCAGGAAACUGGUGCUAAUACCGGAUAGGAGCUCCUGCUGCAUGGUGGGGGUUGGAAAGUUUCGGCGGUUGGGGAUGGACUCGCGGCUUAUCAGCUUGUUGGUGGGGUAGUGGCUUACCAAGGCUUUGACGGGUAGCCGGCCUGAGAGGGUGACCGGCCACAUUGGGACUGAGAUACGGCCCAGACGCCUACGGGAGGCAGCAGUGGGGAAUAUUGCACAAUGGGCGGAAGCCUGAGGAAGAAACGCCGGGUGCGGGAUGACGGCCUUCGGGGUGUAAACCGCUUUCGCCUGUGACGAAGCGUGAGUGACGGUAAUGGGUAAAGAAGCACCGGCUAACUACGUG
This 468-nucleotide ribosomal RNA is filed under the name uncultured bacterium. RNAcentral describes it as "partial 16S ribosomal RNA". It matches the Rfam family "Bacterial small subunit ribosomal RNA", at positions 28 to 507 of the family's 1533-position model. The record is from RNAcentral.